Molecule: ribosomal RNA, 114 nt
Filed under: Chloroflexota bacterium
Lineage: Bacteria; Bacillati; Chloroflexota
Description: Chloroflexi bacterium (groundwater metagenome) partial 16S ribosomal RNA
Rfam family: Bacterial small subunit ribosomal RNA
Source: RNAcentral
UUUUUUGGAGAGUUUGAUCCCGGCUCAGGAUAAACGCUGGCGGCGUGCUUAAUGCAUGCAAGUCGAACGGUUCUUCCCGCAAGGGAAGGAUAGUGGCAAACGGGUGAGUAACAC